RNAcentral lists this ribosomal RNA (330 nucleotides) under uncultured eukaryote. RNAcentral's name for it is "partial 18S ribosomal RNA". It matches the Rfam family "Eukaryotic small subunit ribosomal RNA", at positions 1470 to 1796 of the family's 1831-position model. The record is from RNAcentral.
CCCUUAGAUGUUCUGGGCCGCACGCGCGCUACACUGACGAAGCCAGCGAGCAUCUCCUACGCCGAAAGGUGCGGGGAAUCUUGUGAAACUUUGUCGUGCUGGGGAUUGAUUUUUGAAAUUCUUGAUCAUAAACGAGGAAUUCCUAGUAAGCGCAAGUCAGCAGCUUGCGUUGAUUACGUCCCUGCCCUUUGUACACACCGCCCGUCGCUACUACCGAUUGAAUGGUUUAGUGAGAUGUUUGGACCGGAACUCUCUUGCUCAGCAAUGGGCGAGAGAGAGUCUGGGAAGUCCCUCUAACUGUAUCAUUUAGAGGAAGUAAAAGUCGUAACA